RNAcentral lists this long non-coding RNA (399 nucleotides) under Phoenix dactylifera (date palm). RNAcentral describes it as "long non-coding RNA (PDAC_LNC023104)". The record is from RNAcentral. Lineage: Eukaryota; Viridiplantae; Streptophyta; Magnoliopsida; Arecales; Arecaceae.
AGGUACUAUCUUAUUGGAUCAAGUACAAUUAUGCCAAUGCAGUGAUUAAAAAGCCAACAGUUGUAGUAAAAUAAAACAUUUUAUAGAUGAUAUACACAAAUUAGGUCAUAAAGCAAUGCAUGAUCCAUCCAUGAAAGUUCAUAACCAUGAUAAUGCAAGUCAUAUAGAAAUAUUGUGAUUUAUCCAUACUUUAUAAAACAUACUCUCAGACGGAUGUGCUGCUAUGGUCACUAUAAUCCCGUGACAGGGCCUGUUAAUCUUAGUCGACUAAUUCUGUUAUUCGUUACCAACUUUAACCUCUUGGCAGAGGGCCUGUUAUUCUUUGGAUGCUAGCUCCAGGGUGUCGACUGGCCUCUAUUUCUAGAGGUGGUCAUAGCUAUCUGAGAGUUCAUAAAUCAU